AAAAUCCGCGGUCCAUUAAUCCUGAGAUGUGAUGCCGAGCCGAUUGUGGCGAAGUGGGUGAUCCUAUGCUGCCGAGAAAAGCCUCUAGUGAGUGUCGUGGCGGCCCGUACCCCAAACCGACUCAGGUGGUCAGGUAGAGAAUACCAAGGCGAUCGGGUGAACUGUGGUUAAGGAACUCGGCAAAUUGCCCCCGUAACUUCGGGAGAAGGGGGGCCUCCGCUGGUGAUCAGACUUGCUUUGUGAGCUGGUGGGGGUCGCAGAGGCCAGGGGGAAGCGACUGUUUACUAAAAACACAGGUCCGUGCGAAGUCGUAAGACGAUGUAUACGGACUGACGCCUGCCCGGUGCUGGAACGUUAAGGGGACCGGUUAGCGUACUUUCGGGUGUGCGAGGCUGAGAACUUAAGCGCCAGUAAACGGCGGUGGUAACUAUAACCAUCCUAAGGUAGCGAAAUUCCUUGUCGGGUAAGUUCCGACCUGCACGAAUGGCGUAACGACUUCCCCGCUGUCUCAACCGCAGACCCGGCGAAAUUGCACUACGAGUAAAGAUGCUCGUUACGCGCAGCAGGACGGAAAGACCCCGGGACCUUCACUACAGCUUGACAUUGGCGUUUGGAACGUCUUGUGUAGGAUAGGUGGGAGACUGUGAAGCUGUCACGCUAGUGGCGGUGGAGUCAUUGGUGAAAUACCACUCUGGUCGUUUUGAACGUCUAACUUCGGUCCGUGAUCCGGAUCAGGGACAGUGUCAGGUGGGUAGUUUAACUGGGGCGGUUGCCUCCUAAAGAGUAACGGAGGCGCCCAAAGGUUCCCUCAGCCUGGUUGGUAAUCAGGUGUCGAGUGUAAGUGCACAAGGGAGCUUGACUGUGAGACCGACGGGUCGAGCAGGAGCGAAAGCUGGGACUAGUGAUCCGGCGGUGGCAUGUGGAAGCGCCGUCGCUCAACGGCUAAAAGGUACCCCGGGGAUAACAGGCUGAUCUUCCCCAAGAGUCCAUAUCGACGGGAUGGUUUGGCACCUCGAUGUCGGCUCGUCGCAUCCUGGGGCUGGAGUAGGUCCCAAGGGUUGGGCUGUUCGCCCAUUAAAGCGGUACGCGAGCUGGGUUUAGAACGUCGCGAGACAGUUCGGACCCUAUCCGCUGCGCGCGCAGGAGACUUGAAAGGAGCUGUCCCUAGUACGAGAGGACCGGGACGGACGAACCUCUGGUGUGCCAGUUGUUCCGCCAGGAGCAUGGCUGGUUGGCUACGUUCGAAAGGGAUAACCGCUGAAAGCAUCUAAGCGGGAAGCUCGCCUUGAGAUGAGGUCUCCCACCACGAGAGUGGGUAAGGCCCCCGGGAGACGACCGGGUUGAUAGGCCGGAGGUGGAAGCAUGGCAACGUGUGGUGCUGACCGGUACUAAUAGGCCGAGGACUUGACC
This 1410-nucleotide ribosomal RNA is filed under the name metagenome. Its description in RNAcentral is "bacterial LSU rRNA". It matches the Rfam family "Bacterial large subunit ribosomal RNA", at positions 1537 to 2925 of the family's 2925-position model. The record is from RNAcentral.